AACGAACGCUGGCGGCAGGCCUAACACAUGCAAGUCGAGCGCCCCGCAAGGGGAGCGGCGGACGGGUGAGUAACGCGUGGGAACGUGCCCUCUUCUACGGAAUAGCCUCGGGAAACUGGGAGUAAUACCGUAUACGCCCUUAGGGGGAAAGAUUUAUCGCCCAAGGAUGAGCCCGCGUAAGAUUAGCUAGUUGGUGGGGUAAAGGCCUACCAAGGCGACGAUCUUUAGCUGGUCUGAGAGGAUGAUCAGCCACACUGGGACUGAGACACGGCCCAGACUCCUACGGGAGGCAGCAGUGGGGAAUAUUGGACAAUGGGCGAAAGCCUGAUCCAGCAAUGCCGCGUGAGUGAUGAAGGCCUUAGGGUUGUAAAGCUCUUUUACCAGGGAUGAUAAUGACAGUACCUGGAGAAUAAGCUCCGGCUAACUCCGUG
This 431-nucleotide ribosomal RNA is filed under the name uncultured bacterium. RNAcentral's name for it is "bacterial SSU rRNA". It matches the Rfam family "Bacterial small subunit ribosomal RNA", at positions 29 to 507 of the family's 1533-position model. The record is from RNAcentral.